UCAACUCUCAAGUCAAAAGAGUCGCGCUUAUCGUGCACGUGUUCGGACGUGUUUGUCCUGAAUAAAUUUUUGAAGAUUGCUGAUGCAAUCACAAUUUCCACUCAGACUUCGCUACGCGAUCAGUGAUUCAAGCUUUGUUAAACAAACAGUGGCAAAUCUGGCCGUAUUGUCCGCUGAAAAGCGGCAGGAGCCAAUAAAAAGUAAGAAGAAGAAGAAGAAGAACUCAAGUCAAAGGAUUCACGUCAAGGCUCGAGCCUCGAGGAAGGUUUUGAAAGACAAUGGAUUCUUGCUGGCGAUUUUGAUUCACAGUCCCGUUCUCAAUGAAUUCAGAUUAACCACGCAAUUAUUUCUGGGUGAAAUGCCACUUCUACUUCCUAUUCUCGUAAUUUAUCCAAGAGCGGUAGUAGUAUAUCAGGAUUUUCUUCCACGAUGUCCCUAUGCGAGGUAUUAGAACCACUUGAUUACGAGGAAUUCUUGGGACAGCAUCAGUCAGUGCUGGACCGUGAUCCUUUAAAACCAAUACCAGAUUUUCCACCGGGAGACGUCAAAUUGAGAGUCGUAAAGAGGAAGAUUCGAACAGAGGAGCCAGUAGUACCGCACGAAUCAAUUGAUACCGUGUCGCCUUAUGUGAAAAAAUGUUGAAAGUUUUACUUCAGACUGGGUCGUAAUACAUCGUAAAUACAAAGGUAGAAUCUCACUUAUUGCCAGAGACAGAUUGAUUCAGGAUACACUUAGACAAGAUUUCGAGGUAGAUCAAGAAGAUGCAAAUGGUUGUGUAUCACUGAACGAGGAGGAUGAUUUGUCCAAUUCCGGAGAUACUCCGAGAAGAUCUUGGGCAACUCUGGAUUUGCGGUAUUCGCAACAUGACUCUCUUCUGCCGAGUUUGUUAGAUCGUGUUUGCCUCGAAACGAUCGAUCAGAUGAACGAGCAGAAAAGAUUGGAGGAUCGACAGACGAGUCCGUAAGUCAACAACAGCGUGUAAAAAAAAGUAAUUGCUACUCUGAAAUGAUGUAUACAAAAUAGGCCAAGACAUGCCCAUUUUAUGAAGAAUUAGAUGAAAUUUUAGGCAAAAAGCCAUGCGUCAAGCCCGUUGCACUGGCCUCCAACAGGCGUCCCGUUCUGGAUAAAAUGUGCACGGAUGUAGACUGUAAAGAAGAACCUGAGAAAAAGAAGAAGAAAAGUAAAUCCGACGUUCUCGAUGAAAUUAGAGAGUGGAGGGUGGAGUCGAUGGAAUAUCGAAGAACCACUGAUGCCGAGAAGCAGAAACAGCGCGAGGAGCAACUUGAAAUUGCACGGAAGAGUAUCGAGUCUAUGGAUGCUCGCAUGGGUCAGUUAAUUGAUGUCUUGAAGAAAAAUUAAAGUUAUUCCUUCGGCUCUGGACGCAUAGUAUAUAACAAGUUCAAGUCCGUGGUAUCGUACGUGAUUGAUGAUCUACCAUUGUUCGAUAAGAAUGCAGUGGUUACUGUACCGAAGUUGUCGGUGUAUGAUUCACUUGACGAGGAAGUAAUAUAGAGUUAUCUGGAAUUCUCGCUCGCCUCGAUGAAGAAAGGCGCCUGCAGUGAGCAGUCCAGCCGUAUGACGGCCAUGGACAACGCCACCAAGAACGCCGGAGAGAUGAUCGACAAACUCACUCUCACGUUCAACCGCACUCAACGUAUAACGUUGUAACUUUAUAACGUUUGUAUUAUAUAUUAAGUACCAAAAUUGAAUUUCUAUCAGUUCGGAUAUCAGAAGCAUGUAACAACAUGAUCUUUUAAUCUAGUUAUAAAAGAUUACAGAUUCAUCAAUUUAGGAAGGUGUGGUAUCUCUUUCUUUUCUUACUUUUUAAUAUAAAAUAGUUGUUGUAGGUCACACAAUCUUGUGAUCGCGUAAUAAAAGGAAGAGAGAAAGGAAGGAGAUUCUAUAAUUGCAAUGUGUGUUUGCAGUACCGUAAGAAUUUUAAAGAUAAUUUAAAGUGUAUAAAAUGACGUGGCCUUUAGAGUACUAAAUAAGACGAUUACUUUUUAACUACAACCUUGUUUAUGUACUUCUAGCUUGUAUAUAGAACGAUAUUGCGUGAAUGAUGGAUGCAUUUUGUAAUCAAAUGCAGAAAUAUUUCGGUUUCUGCCAUGUCGCAUGACGUACGUAAUAAUACAAUUUUGCAAAAACGAUUUUCGAAGUUAGAGUUUCUUGUUGCUAGUUUGUAGUCUUAACACGUGUAAUAAUGAUUAUCGACUCGAGCGGUAUUUUUGAGUUGCACCGGACAUUUUGUAAAGGAGAAAUUUUUAAAAACCAUGAAAGCAACGCACAUACAAUUUUAAUUUCGUAAAUGCACAAUCCGAAUUUAUUAACGCUUACGAAUGAUUUAUUAAUGUUCAGCUCGAAAGUUUUGCUAAUUAGCGUUCUCAUUAUUAUGUAACAAACUGACAAAGAGAAAUAAAAUCUAUAUUUUUACAUAAGCAAUGCUGAGAAUGUAAGGGAUACAUAAUCUAUCCCUUAUCUGUAGACAAGAAUGCAUGUCUGAGAAGCUUACGUAACUGUGGGCUCGCACUUUUGUAAGGUAAACUUAAUUAUAGGCGCAGCGUAUUUAUGAAUUGUUUCAAGUGUAUACUAAGAAGUAUAGAAUUUUUAAUGAUUUUAUGUUUAAGGGAAAAACAUUUAGAGUACUCUUCAUUUCAAAUACUUAAACUCUGCCCUAUCGAUUUAUAUGUUAAGGGGCAGAUUAGGCGACUAUUAAGGGCUACUAAAAAUAUAUAUGUAUAUAUUUCACAAAUAUAUACAUAUAUUGGUAAAGCAAUAUACUCUUCUUGCUCGUUCAUAUUAUGUAACAAUAGAACUUAAUUCACUCCCCCUUUUUUUCUUUUUUUUUACCACCGUCAUUCACAUUAGUUGCAAUAACUCAUGUAUGGUGUUUGCAAUUUUUUCAUUUAUACCCUAAAUUAAUUGUUGCGACAGCAACGUUGUUUCGAUGCUAUAUUGCUGUUGCUAAUGCACUAGUUAUACCAAAAAAUUCAUCGUAGCACAGCAGAACGAUAUAAAUUAAAAUUAUUCAAUUUAUACAGCGAAUAAAGGGAUUUUAUUGUCGACGAGUAUAUCGGUAUACUCUAAAACUAUAUGUAUAAAGAAAUGCAUAAUAAAGGAAUUUAUACUAUUUGUAA
Temnothorax curvispinosus is the source of this 3137-nucleotide RNA transcript. RefSeq lists it as uncharacterized. Lineage: Eukaryota; Metazoa; Arthropoda; Insecta; Hymenoptera; Formicidae. The transcript is spliced from 7 exons. The record is from RefSeq and is a predicted model, not a curated record.